This 253-nucleotide non-coding RNA is filed under the name uncultured bacterium. RNAcentral's name for it is "partial 16S ribosomal RNA". It matches the Rfam family "Bacterial small subunit ribosomal RNA", at positions 524 to 776 of the family's 1533-position model. RNAcentral also lists the same sequence under 2 other names. The record is from RNAcentral.
UACGGAGGGUGCGAGCGUUAAUCGGAAUUACUGGGCGUAAAGCGCUCGUAGGCGGUAUGUCAAGUCAAGGGUGAAAUCCCCGCGCUCAACGUGGGAACUGCCUUUGAAACUGGCAAACUGGAGUGUGUGAGAGGAUAGUGGAAUUCCAGGUGUAGGAGUGAAAUCCGUAGAUAUCUGGAGGAACAUCAGUGGCGAAGGCGACUAUCUGGCACAUAACUGACGCUGAGGAGCGAAAGCGUGGGUAGCAAACAGG